CUACGGGAGGCAGCAGUGGGGAAUAUUGCACAAUGGAGGAAACUCUGAUGCAGCAACGCCGCGUGGAGGAUGACACUUUUCGGAGCGUAAACUCCUUUUAUAUAGGUAGAAGAUGACGGUACUAUAUGAAUAAGCGCCGGCUAACUCCGUGCCAGCAGCCGCGGUAAUACGGAGGGCGCAAGCGUUACUCGGAAUCACUGGGCGUAAAGAGCGUGUAGGCGGAUUAAAAAGUCAGAAGUGAAAUCCUAUAGCUUAACUAUAGAACUGCUUCUGAAACUCUUAAUCUAGAAUAUGGGAGAGGUAGAUGGAAUUUCUGGUGUAGGGGUAAAAUCCGUAGAGAUCAGAAGGGAUACCGAUUGCGAAGGCGAUCUACUAGAACAUUAUUGACGCUGAGACGCGAAAGCGUGGGGAGCAAACAGGAUUAGAUACCCUCGUAGUC
RNAcentral lists this ribosomal RNA (439 nucleotides) under uncultured bacterium. RNAcentral's name for it is "partial 16S ribosomal RNA". It matches the Rfam family "Bacterial small subunit ribosomal RNA", at positions 339 to 795 of the family's 1533-position model. The record is from RNAcentral.